This 253-nucleotide ribosomal RNA is filed under the name uncultured bacterium. RNAcentral's name for it is "partial 16S ribosomal RNA". It matches the Rfam family "Bacterial small subunit ribosomal RNA", at positions 524 to 776 of the family's 1533-position model. The record is from RNAcentral.
UACGAAGGGGGCGAGCGUUGUUCGGAGUUACUGGGCGUAAAGGGUGUGUAGGCGGUUGCUUAAGUUUGGGGUGAAAUCUCCCGGCUCAACCGGGAGGGUGCGCCGAAUACUGAGUGACUAGAGUGCGGGAGAGGAAAGUGGAAUUCCUGGUGUAGCGGUGAAAUGCGUAGAUAUCAGGAGGAACACCGGUGGUGUAGACGGCUUUCUGGACCGUAACUGACGCUGAGACACGAAAGCGUGGGUAGCAAACAGG